This 478-nucleotide ribosomal RNA is filed under the name uncultured bacterium. Its description in RNAcentral is "partial 16S ribosomal RNA". It matches the Rfam family "Bacterial small subunit ribosomal RNA", at positions 28 to 507 of the family's 1533-position model. The record is from RNAcentral.
GAUGAACGCUGGCGGCGUGCUUAACACAUGCAAGUCGAACGAGAAGUGGAGACGGAAACCUUCGGGCGGAAGACUUUAUUUCGAGUGGCGGACGGGUGAGUAACGCGUGGGUAACCUGCCUCAUACAGGGGGAUAACAGUUGGAAACGACUGUUAAUACCGCAUAAGACCACAGCACCGCAUGGUGCGGGGGUAAAAACUCCGGUGGUAUGAGAUGGACCCGCGUUCGAUUAGCCAGUUGGCGGGGUAACGGCCCACCAAAGCGACGAUCGAUAGCCGAUCUGAGAGGAUGACCGGCCAAAUUUGGAAUGAGACACGGCCCAAACUCCCACGGGAGGCAGCAGUGGGGAAUAUUGCACAAUGGGGGAAACCCUGAUGCAGCGACGCCGCGUGAGUGAAGAAGUAUUUCGGUAUGUAAAGCUCUAUCAGCAGGGAAGAAAAUGACGGUACCUGAGUAAGAAGCCCCGGCUAACUACGUG